GAUAAACGCUGGCGGCGUGCCUUAUGCAUGCAAGUCGAACGAUCUUGAUUUAUCAAGAUAGUGGCAAACGGGUGAGAAAAACGUAAGUAACCUACCUCUAAGUAGGGGAUAACACCGGGAAACCAGUGCUAAUACCGUAUGUGGUGGUGGAGGUAAUGCUCCAUCACUAAAGCCUUCGGGCGCUUGGAGAGGGGCUUGUGUCCGAUUAGCUAGUUGGUGGAGUAACGGUUCACCAAGGCGAAGAUCGGUAGCUGGUCUGAGAGGACGGUCAGCCACACUGGGACUGAGACACGGCCCAGACUCCUACGGGUGG
This 313-nucleotide ribosomal RNA is filed under the name uncultured Chloroflexota bacterium. RNAcentral's name for it is "bacterial SSU rRNA". It matches the Rfam family "Bacterial small subunit ribosomal RNA", at positions 28 to 348 of the family's 1533-position model. The record is from RNAcentral. Lineage: Bacteria; Bacillati; Chloroflexota.